This 367-nucleotide ribosomal RNA is filed under the name Salmonella enterica. RNAcentral describes it as "partial 23S ribosomal RNA". It matches the Rfam family "Bacterial large subunit ribosomal RNA", at positions 825 to 1190 of the family's 2925-position model. RNAcentral also lists the same sequence under 1 other name. Lineage: Bacteria; Pseudomonadati; Pseudomonadota; Gammaproteobacteria; Enterobacterales; Enterobacteriaceae. The record is from RNAcentral.
AAGGCCAAUCAAACCGGGAGAUAGCUGGUUCUCCCCGAAAGCUAUUUAGGUAGCGCCUCGUGAAUUCAUCUCCGGGGGUAGAGCACUGUUUCGGCUAGGGGGCCAUCCCGGCUUACCAACCCGAUGCAAACUGCGAAUACCGGAGAAUGUUAUCACGGGAGACACACGGCGGGUGCUAACGUCCGUCGUGAAGAGGGAAACAACCCAGACCGCCAGCUAAGGUCCCAAAGUCAUGGUUAAGUGGGAAACGAUGUGGGAAGGCCCAGACAGCCAGGAUGUUGGCUUAGAAGCAGCCAUCAUUUAAAGAAAGCGUAAUAGCUCACUGGUCGAGUCGGCCUGCGCGGAAGAUGUAACGGGGCUAAACCAU